This 317-nucleotide ribosomal RNA is filed under the name uncultured eukaryote. RNAcentral describes it as "partial 18S ribosomal RNA". It matches the Rfam family "Eukaryotic small subunit ribosomal RNA", at positions 1470 to 1796 of the family's 1831-position model. The record is from RNAcentral.
CCCUUAGAUGUUCUGGGCCGCACACGCGCUACACUGAAGGAGGCAGCGUGUACUCCGGGAUCGAAAGAUUUGGGUAACCCGCGAAUCUCCUUCGUGCUAGGGAUUGAGGUUUGCAAUUAUCCUUCAUGAACGAGGAAUUCCCAGUAAGUGCAAGUCAUAAGCUUGCGCUGACUACGUCCCUGCCCUUUGUACACACCGCCCGUCGCUCCUACCGAUUUCGAGUGGUCCGGUGAAUCUUUCGGACUGCGCGCGGCUUCGUGCCGUGUCGCGGAAAGUCAGGUAAACCUUAUCACUUAGAGGAAGGAGAAGUCGUANCA